RNAcentral lists this ribosomal RNA (253 nucleotides) under uncultured bacterium. Its description in RNAcentral is "partial 16S ribosomal RNA". It matches the Rfam family "Bacterial small subunit ribosomal RNA", at positions 524 to 776 of the family's 1533-position model. The record is from RNAcentral.
UACGAAGGGGGCUAGCGUUGCUCGGAAUCACUGGGCGUAAAGGGUGUGUAGGCGGGUCUUUAAGUCAGGGGGGAAAUCCUGGAGCUCAACUCCAGAACUGCCUUUGAUACUGAGGAUCUUGAGUUCGGGAGAGGUGAGUGGAACUGCGAGUGUAGAGGUGAAAUUCGUAGAUAUUCGCAAGAACACCAGUGGCGAAGGCGGCUCACUGGCCCGAUACUGACGCUGAGGCACGAAAGCGUGGGGAGCAAACAGG